Molecule: ribosomal RNA, 1481 nt
Filed under: metagenome
Description: bacterial SSU rRNA
Rfam family: Bacterial small subunit ribosomal RNA
Source: RNAcentral
AGAGUUUGAUUCUGGCUCAGGAUGAACGCUAGCGGCAGGCCUAAUACAUGCAAGUCGAGGGGCAGCAGGGGUAGCAAUACUCGCUGGCGACCGGCGCACGGGUGCGUAACACGUAUGCAACUUUCCUUCAACUGGAAGAUAGCCCGAAGAAAUUCGGAUUAAUAUUCCAUAGUUAUGUGAAAUGGCAUCAUUUUAUAUUUAAAGCUCAGGCGGUUGAAGAUGGGCAUGCGUUCGAUUAGCUAGUUGGUGAGGUAAUGGCUCACCAAGGCUACGAUCGAUAGGGGAUCUGAGAGGAUUAACCCCCACACUGGUACUGAGACACGGACCAGACUCCUACGGGAGGCAGCAGUAAGGAAUAUUGGACAAUGGAGGCAACUCUGAUCCAGCCAUGCCGCGUGAAGGAUGAAGGUCCUAUGGAUUGUAAACUUCUUUUGAACGGGAGAAAACCUUCGGUCGUGUACCGAAGCUGAUAGUACCGUUAGAAUAAGGGUCGGCUAACUUCGUGCCAGCAGCCGCGGUAAUACGAAGGACCCGAGCGUUAUCCGGAUUUAUUGGGUUUAAAGGGUGCGUAGGCGGAAUGGUAAGUCAGUGGUGAAAUCUUGUGGCUUAACUGCAAAACUGCCAUUGAUACUGCCAAUCUUGAGUACAUUUGAUGUGGGCGGAAUGUGCCAUGUAGUGGUGAAAUACUUAGAUAUGGCACAGAACACCGAUCGCGAAGGCAGCUCACAAAACUGUUACUGACGCUGAGGCACGAAAGCGUGGGGAUCAAACAGGAUUAGAUACCCUGGUAGUCCACGCCUUAAACUAUGAUUACUCGAUGUGUGCGAUACACAGUACGCGUCUAAGCGAAAGCGUUAAGUAAUCCACCUGGGGAGUACGGUCGCAAGAUUGAAACUCAGAGAAAUUGACGGGGGCCCGCACAAGCGGAGGAGCAUGUGGUUUAAUUCGAUGAUACGCGAGGAACCUUACCUGGGCUUGAAAGUUAGUGAAUGCUGUGGAAACAUGGCAGGCCGCAAGGACACGAAACUAGGUGCUGCAUGGCUGUCGUCAGCUCGUGCCGUGAGGUGUUGGGUUAAGUCCCGCAACGAGCGCAACCCCUAUCUUUAGUUGCCAGCGAGUAAUGUCGGGGACUCUAAAGAAACUGCCCGUGCAAACGGUGAGGAAGGUGGGAUGACGUCAAGUCAGCACGGCCCUUACGUCCAGGGCUACACACGUGCUACAAUGGCGAGUACAAAGGGCAGCUACAUGGUGACAUGAUGCUAAUCUCUAAAACUCGUCUCAGUUCGGAUUGAAGUCUGCAAUUCGACUUCAUGAAGCUGGAUUCGCUAGUAAUCGAAUAUCAGCAAUGAUUCGGUGAAUACGUUCCCGGGCCUUGUACACACCGCCCGUCAAACAAUGGAAGCUGAGGGUACUUAAAGUCGAUAACCGCAAGGAGUCGCCUAGGGUAAAAUCGGUAACUGGUGUUAAGUCGGAACAAGGUA